This is a long non-coding RNA of Aptenodytes forsteri (emperor penguin), 8182 nucleotides long. RefSeq lists it as uncharacterized. The transcript is spliced from 2 exons. Lineage: Eukaryota; Metazoa; Chordata; Aves; Sphenisciformes; Spheniscidae. The record is from RefSeq and is a predicted model, not a curated record.
AAUAGAACAUGCUACAUCAUAUGAUAUGUUACAUUAAUAUAUAAUUAAGAUGUUAGUAUGGUGUAUGUUAAAUACACCGGUAACUGCGGAUGAAGUGGUGUUCCAUCAAGAAUCUCUCUGUUGGCAUGAGAGAUAGAGAUAGAGACAUAGAAAUAGGUAAUGGCAAACAUGAUAAACUGAAGAUGUGGAAGACCUGGGUGGGUUAAUGACACUGUUCUGCACACACAAGGUAAAUGUGAUCUUUUAUAGCAGGAGAAGUUUGAUCUUCUUUCUGGGGAGCCAGCUGAACAUAUCAUGCUGUUGUGUACCAUGCUUGUAAAUGGCAGUCAUUUUAAUCUAUAUUUUAAAGUGUUGUGGGUGUAUUUAGUGAUGCAGAAAAUGAUAGGUGAAGAGGAAGGGAUUGACCCUGGCAGGUGCAGAGAACUGCUGCUGAGUAAGACAUCUCUCAUGGUGGCAGGUCCAUCUCUUCCUGACCCUAUGUCAAGCUGCUAUUUCUGUCAUCAAGACUUUUCUGAACAGACUUUCUAGCUGUACAGAAUAGCACCAGUCAAAAGUAUGGUUUUGUGCAAUGGUCUGGCAGUCUAGCAAUGGUCUAGCAGCACAAACUUAAAACCAAAACUGUCUCCAGUUGAUGUAAUUCAGAUGUGACCCUGAAUUUCAGGAGGUAACACUGCAUUACUAACCCAAAAAAAAGGCUGCUUCUAAUAAAAAUGACAUGGACCACACUGUUUUCUUCCUUUCUUCGAAACAAAUGCCUCAUUUUAUUUACAUUACAUUCAGCCUCCGGUGUAACAGAAAGAGGAAUCUUUUGUGUUCUGAGAUACUGUGGUCUAUAGACACUGAUUUAAUAACAUUUUGUAGUACACUAAGCAAAGAAAGAAAGAAACUCAGUUCAUUCAUAUUGCUGAGGGAAUUUGCCAAUUAGGAUCUACCAGGAUGACUGGGAGCAAAGAAAUGAUCCUUGAAGUGUGAGCAAUCACCUUACUGCUGGCACAUGACCUGUUCUCGUGUGUGAGAACCCAGGGCGUCCAUAUGGAAGCAGGAGAGCUUUAAUUUUCUUUGUGAGCAGAAGAUGUAAUGCACAGUUCCAAACACUGGAGCUGGUCAUUAUCGUCGUGUGUUGGGUAUUGUGUCUUCCCCAUCUUUUGUGUAGAGGGUCAGACUGAGAUUUAAAAUACAACUUUUCAAGUUCUGUUUUCAGUCCAGGAGUUUUCUGCUAAAACAGUCAAUGGAAAGGCUACCAUUAACUCUGAGAACAGCAUUAUGCUCCAGAGUUAACAUCCAAAUGUGUGGCUUCCUUUAUGAGCAAAGGAUGGGUGAAGUUCAAUUAGCAGUUAUUGUGACCAGAAUUCAGGUCAUAGUUUCAUGAGAUACUAUCACCAAAACCCCCAACUGGAUCACUGCAAUGAUCUGAGUUAAAAUUAGCUCUUCUUGGUGCAGGGGGGGAAUAUUUUUAAUCUGGAUUGUUUGAGCGACCCAGUUCAGGUGCAGCCUUGCAGCAGCACACUGGCAAGGGCAGCGGGUGCAGCACGUGGGUGGGAGUGAUGCCUUGAACAGGGGAACAGGGGAAGCAGCUGUAAGUCAUGUUACUGCUAGAGCCGGCAUUUUAUUUUUAAUUCUGUGGUAACUGGUGGAAACACCCGGGAAGAGAUAGCUGAGUAACAUGAUGACUAGCACAACUUGACUCUCCCCUUGGGACUUGCUUAAGGUUUUUUCUGUGUACGAUUGCUGUGACACUGGAGGUGUUCAGCUUGUGACUUUGUUUUUCAGAAACUGAACUAGCUGGCAGUUUGGAGGCUGAAGCUUUCUGGCGUUAGCCGUAGGGCGCCGGGACCACCUAAACUGAGAAAACAGAAAUUCCAGAAAACCGACAAAUCUCAGCAAAUGCUGAUUUUAAAAAAAGCUAUUGCUUUUUUUGUAGUUGUUGUUUUAGUAAUACCCUCCAAAGGGAUGGAUUGAAAAGGGGACUGAGCAUCACAGUGCCCAACUUUAAUGUUGCUGACACUUGGCAAAUCAUAGAAUGAUAAAGCUAGGAGGGACCUUGAAAGGUGAGGUGAGGUCUGGCGUGGUCCGUGUGCCUGAGUUGCACAAGCCAGUUCUCCCAGCCCUGUUACCAUUUUGGUAAGGUGCCCAUGCCUCGCUGAGCUGUCACAUGGUGAUGGGACCUCAGAGGCCUCUCCAGUCCCCCAGUGCCUAGACCGUAACCCUUUCUUUAAGGGGUCCACAGUGUCAUACAGCCCUUUUCCCUCUGGGCUGCAAAGGCAGAUGCUGCCACAGCCUGCCAUUCGAGGUAGCUUUUUUGGCCUAGAAAACUGCCCACCUUUGCAAACUGGAAGUGAUGUGAAAUAAGAGUGAUCUGCCAGAGGAGCUAUUCAUGGCCUGAGCGUUGCUGAUGUGCGGGGGCACAUGGAUGCUCAAAAGCCCUCGGCUCCUCUCAGCUUCUGCACUGAGUGAAGCACUAGCACCCCAACCCCGUAGUAAGCCAGUUUUGGGAGCCACACCAGCAAAAAAAUAUUUUUUUUUCUUUUGCAAGGUUGGGUUUCUGCCAGGUUAAACCCCAAACCAGCCCACAGCUGGGUCAGAGGGGUGCCAGCAUCCAAACAGGAGAGGAGGCUGUGACAUCCAGUAGAAGUAGGGGAAGGAGUACUCCUUUGGUGGUAGCUAGUCUUUAAGAAAUAACAAAUACCCUGCUGCUCACAACAGUCGUCCAUCUGGUCCUGUAUUCUGUCUCCGGCUGUGGCAAUAGGAAGAACACACUUUAGGUUGUGCUGCGAUUAAGUAGUAAGUGAGCAGGGUUUCGGUACACCUGAGCUGACCUAAUAGCUUGCUGCUGCCAGAAGGACUAUUCCCACUUUAUCCAUCAACACUCUAACAUGCUGGAAAAUAAUCCUUUUUUCCUUAGUUGGAUUAUUUUUCUGUUGGGCUAGUGAGUUAGAUCCGUUCAUUAGAGAGCCUGACAAGCGCCGCAGCUGGUGCAGAGGAGGGUCUGCAGAGCCAUAAACUGGUGAGAGGAGCAGGACCUCCCCCGUUCUGGAGACAGAGAGCUGUUGCAGCAGCUCAAAUGGUAUUGUCAGCCCUGACCUAGAUCUCAUGUGAAAUGAAACCUGAAUCUAAUCAUAUUUUGUUCUAUUUUUAACAAGGUCUAUCCAGCAAGCUGCAGUAAGCAGAAUAGGUUUAGACCCGUCAUUGAGUGGGAGAAGUGUGAGAAAGAGCGAAGAGCUGCAGGAAGUGGGUGAAGUGGUUGAAGAAAUGGUGCUCUGCCUUUCAUCCUUUCUGAGGAGAGGAUGUGAGCUGGAGCACUGCAGCAUUUGGCAUUUGGAUGAGCUGCAAAGCAGAGCCUGUGGCCACUUGUGGUCAAUAAAGAUUGCUUUUUUGGCACUUUUCCUAAAAGUAGCUUCAUUAAAUGCAAUGUGUUGGCCAAAUUCUAAUUGAGUAAAUCCAUUCUGUCUCUCUCAGGGCCCCUGAAGUAUCGGCUGGGUAAAAUGUUUGCUUCAUAGGAACAGAGGACUGACUUGCUAAUGGUCCAGUAAUUCAGCCCCUUGGAUGGGAUACUCAUUGGAUGUCAGCUGGCUCCAAAGGAUUCACACCUGCAAGGAGCUGGACCUUUAUUUUCUGCUGAUGGCAGUGCCAGAAUUAUCAGGGCAAGGUACAAAAAAACCAGGCAAUUAGGGAGUAAGCUGGUCGUUGAAAAGGUUUCCUUCUAUUGCCAGACAGUUAGUGGUUGGAUUCUGCUCUGAAGGUUUAUACCUAGUGAAAGCCUCUCCCGUAACUCUCUGUAUUUCUGCAGUGUAUUGCUGCAGCUUUACAACCCAGAGCAGGUGGCCCUCAGCCCAAAGUGAAGUCAUUCCUUAACAUUUAUAGCUUGAAAAGCAUUUUGGGAUCCUCUGAAGGCACUCUCUGUGGUGUAUUUUGGUAAUCAGAGUAUAAAAUCAUUCAUGCAAAUAAGAGGGCUUCCUGAACAUCCUUUUUUUUCUUAUUUUCUUUUUUUCUUUUUUUUUCCCCCCAGAAAAAGGAAUAUUCUACUAACACAGAACUUAUUUUCUUGAUCAGCGAAUGUGAGAUAUUUUCUUCACCUCUUCUUUGUCUCAUGGCUCGUGGCCACAAGGUGCAACAUUUUAGCCCAACUUUAGAAUCUUUUUUUGUGCUGAGCAUAGAGUGUUUUGCUAAGGCUGCCUUUCUGUCAGGCUGGAUUGCGAGUGUUUCAUCUGCACCUCAAAGCUGAAUCCUACUAACUUUGUCAGAAACAGACUUGCACUUAAGCCUCUCCCUUUUUUUCUUUUAAGCAUAAAAAUAUUUUCAAUGGGAUAAACAGAGAAAGUAACCUCAGAUCAGAGAUGCAUGAAGAAAAAAAAAAGCCAGGAUCCAAACACGGGGAGAUGUAAAGCUUUUCCCAGUCUUCCAGUCAGGGCUGCAUGCAGCUGUGACAGGGAGGGAGGAUGAUGUGGCUGUUCCCUCCUUAACAUCCUUAUGGGACACAGAGCACAUGCCUCAUUAAGCAACAUGAAUGGGUGUAUGUGCAUGCCUUUGUCGCAUCCUCAGGGUAAAUCCAGGACUGCCCUGGCCUGGAUGCAUGACUUCAGUUGCUCUGUCUGGGCAUGCUUACUUUAUGUGUCUCCCUUGAGUAGGGGCAAAGAGCAAAGAGCAUUCCCUUUAGACCCUGGUCCAUAUACAUGUGAUGUAGAUAUUGUAAAAUACACUAUUCUGGGCUUAUUUCUGAACCAUUACCUCUUUUGGCUUUUCAUAUGCCCUUUUGUUCAGACCAUCUCCAAAUAUAAGCAGGAGUGUGGAAGCUACUUUGCUGACAAAAUUGCUCACAAAUGGCAUACACCCUGGCAUCUUUCUUUGCCACCCCUCUCUCAAGGUUGAGGCCAAAGCAUAAGAUCCUCCACCGCUCCCUGCUGUGCCUGCGGAGGGGGAGCUGGCCCAUGGUUCAGCCAUCUGCGGCCCACGAGCAAUUACCUCUUGACUCGCUGUGUUGGGUCAAGUGUGAUGAGUGGCCGGGGCUGCAGGGUGACCUGAGCUGUCAGCCAUGUGAAGCUGUGAGCCAGUGGGGACUGUGGAUGUUGACAUUUCUGGGUUUCCCUGAGGUUUGAGCGCUGGCCCAGCACUGUUCUGCCACAGCCACAACCAUCGUCUCCUCCUGCAUCUUUGAUAGGGAUGUGGUAAGUCUUUUCUGAGUAGAAAGCAUGGCACAGCAGUGACCGUGUUAGUGCAAAAAAAUUCAGGGGAAGGGGAGCCCACCAGUGCAGCAAGCACUCAUUUUCCAUGUCUGCCCUUCCCUGUCCUCCUGACUCCCUCGUCCAGCUGGCAGGUGCUGUGUUGCGGUGCCUCAGCCGGGCAGGCUGAUUUGCGGGCAGGGUUAUCUCUGUUCCUUAUGCUCACCCCUUGGCUAAGCAAGGUCAUGGUUGAAAGUUAGUAUGAAUGGCAAUGGUAGUGUGUGGACCCAGGAGAGGAACGAGUCCUGUUGCAAUUUCCCUAUAAAGUAAAAAGAAAAGUCUAAAUUCAAUACUAAUGAGCGCAAUGAUGUUGAUUGCAAAGAGAGAGGGGCGGUGUGAAUCUGUGGCUGCAUAUGUGGUUGGUUGCAAUCUGUUUGACAAAGUGAACUUAAAGAUGACAUUAAUAGUGAAGCUUAUAAUAAAAGUUGCACCAUAUUUUAUUAUACGUCCCUGUUUUGGGUCACUUGCACUACUGCUGCAGUUCUGUCAUCUGGAUUGUAUAUUCCAUGUCUGUGCCUACUUCUGUUCAGUUUUGUGGGAAAAGUUAAGCUGAAACAGAUCAGCUGUUUCCUCCUACUCUCUCAUCAACAAGAUUUAUCAUUACUGUGGUCUGCCACAGAGAUCAGAAAUUAGGUGAGAAGGUCGUGUUAGCAUCAUGGAUGUGAUUUUAGCUGUCAUCAUGAAAAUCCCUUCACAUUUGGAUAAACUCAUUGAAAAAUGCUGUGUUUUACAUGUUCAGCGGGGGAGCUGUUAAAUUUUUGAGGUGACAAAGGUCAGACAUGCAGAAAGGGAAAAAAAUUUUGUUCUUUCCUUGCAACUUUUGCAAAUAGAGGCUGUUGCUGGUUUGGAAGCAGCACAGCAAUGGAUGGUUUUAGUAAGGAGGUUGUAGCUACAAUCACCACCUCUAUUGCACCCAAAUCUGUGCCUGGUGGUAUGGGAAUAACUGUGUGAAAUAAAAGCAAGACUAAAGGAGGCAACCACAGCACACACCAGGAUUGAUGAGACUGGCAGUAUCAGUAGGAGAAUGAUGAUCAGGAUGAACGACAGGGAAGACGCAUGUCUCACUGCUACUUACUGCCUCCGAAUGAUCACAGAAGUGUGGUGGGUUUCUGUGUCUUGACUGUGGAGCUGACGUGCAGACUGCAAUCCCAAGGCUUUUCACGAGGGCACUGCUGCCAUGCAGAGGCAGCUUUUGUACUGGAUAUCAGUACAAGAAGAGAGCAAGAGGAGGCCGGCAAUUAAUGUUGAAGAAGAAUGAGAGAAAGUAGGUUAACACACAGAAAUCUGUGAUGGCGAUUGUGGUUUAAACUGCCAGUCUGAUGCAAUGGAUGAUGAACAGGUGCAUGGUUAAAUUUUAUAGAUUUUCCGCCUCUACUGAGGGUACUCCAGCCUCCCACAGCUCUAUAGGCCGUGAGAUUACACAUAAACCAUCCCCACAGUCUGACUAUAAACGCUCCAUCCAUCCUGGGAUCAGCCAGAACUUUCCCUACAUCUCUUGCAAACAUGUGAGGUCAAAUCCUGGAACUAAAAGCCGUGAUGGUUGCUCUCCUGUGCUUUCAGUGUUGUAUGUAUGCAUUGAGAAUGAGGAGGAAACUGCUGGGAUAAAAUGCAGUUGGUAGAUGGUAUGGAAGAAGAGAAGCAACAGGUAUGUGGGUAGAAACUCAGAGAGUAAUAGGAACUGCAAGUAUGUGAGUGCAGUUUUAGAUGCAAGAAUUAAAAGGGCAAAAAUGAGGAAGGUGGAAUAGAGUGGGAGUGAUUUUCCCAGAAGGCUGUGUAAUUAUUCAUGAGGGAUGAUGCUGUAAGAAUCAAUCAUGACUAUGUGGGAAGGUUUUAUCUGUAGGAUCCUUGUCUCCCUGCUUGCUGAAUUUGGAAGGUAUGAGGCAACAAUUAUAUAAUUAAAGAUGCGACCGUAAUGAUUAUGCAAAAUGGAACCAAGUUAAUGGUCAUGUCGAUCAUUAUUAUUAUGUAAUUGAAUAUUUGAAUGUAUAAGAAAGCUUCAACAAUUAAAGGCAUUCUAAGGGCCUACUUGAAGAAAAAGAAGUUGGUUACAUGCAGGCAGUUACUAAAAUGGCAACCGAAUCAAACAAGACCAAGAAAGAAAAAAAUCAUUAAUGGGUAUAUAAAUUGCAUUAAUUUUAAAAGUCACCCUAACAACAAACAAAACUUGUACUUGUAAUGGAAACUAGAUUUCUACAGACUAAAGUCAAUGGAAACUGAAAAAAGUAAAUCAAGUGUGUAUAGCUUUUUAUCUUGGGAUAAGGAUUUUUUAUAGGUUAACAUUUUCACAGGCACAUAACUGGCUUGGUUUUCAGAGAUGGCCAUUUGCUUAGGGCUUUGAAUCUGAAUGUUUGAUGGCAUUCAUCUUGCCUAAUUUAGACAUCUAAUAAUGGACAUUUUAAAUUUAAGCUAGUUGUCUUAGGCUGGCUCUAGAAUCAGUGAAGAGAAAUGGCAUCUUCAGAGAGAAAGUAAUUUCUUCCAUCUUGGAUGCCAGUUUUACCAUGACAUGACUUGUCCUCGAAAGAUGCCUAUUCUUCUCCACUGCGUAUAAAAGGAGCUUAAGGUAACUAAGACUUGAAUGAUCUACUUUCAGGUGAUUAAAGACAUGAAAUAAAUCCCAUCGGUCUUGGUAUCUAACGUAAGGCAUCCACAUUUAAAAACUGUAGCCAUAAUAGCUACUCGUAAGGCCAUAUCAAAACAAACUGUUGUGAAGCGUGCUCUGUGUACUCCAACAGUUAGCUCUCAAAAAGGCUGGACCAAGCAGUGCAGACACAGACAUACACAACCAGGGUGCGGACCAUGUAGGCAGCAAGCAAAGAGCUUUUGGAGAGUGGUGUGCCAGAAGGACUCUGUGACCACAGUCUCCCACGGUCUGCCAAAGAUGGUGUCUUUUCUCUUGGUUCACCUGUAUUUCAACUUCGGCUUGAAUGAGUCACUUUGUCUUCAGGGGCUUCUUGGGAUUUGUCUAU